UGGGCAACCUGCCCCUCUCUCUGGGAUAACCCCGGGAAACCGGAGCUAAUACCGGAUACUCCGGCUGGAUCGCAUGGUCCGGCCGGGAAAGGUCCGCCGGAGAGGGAUGGGCCCGCGGCCUAUCAGCUUGUUGGUGGGGUCAUGGCUCACCAAGGCGACGACGGGUAGCUGGUCUGAGAGGACGACCAGCCCACACGUGGAACUGAGAGUACCGGUCCAGACCUCCGUACGGGAGCA
RNAcentral lists this ribosomal RNA (237 nucleotides) under uncultured bacterium. RNAcentral's name for it is "partial 16S ribosomal RNA". It matches the Rfam family "Bacterial small subunit ribosomal RNA", at positions 118 to 347 of the family's 1533-position model. The record is from RNAcentral.